This 94-nucleotide microRNA precursor is filed under the name Loxodonta africana (African savanna elephant). RNAcentral describes it as "mir-544 microRNA precursor family". It matches the Rfam family "mir-544 microRNA precursor family". Lineage: Eukaryota; Metazoa; Chordata; Mammalia; Proboscidea; Elephantidae. The record is from Rfam by way of RNAcentral.
ACCAUCCUGGGAUCUUGCUAAAAUGCAGACUCUGACUCAGGAGGGUGGGCCUGAGAUUCUGCAUUUCUAACAACAAGCUCCCAGGUGAUGCUAA